AGUGAACGCUGGCGGCAGGCCUAACACAUGCAAGUCGAGCGGCAGCGCGGUGCCAACUCUGGCGUCCAGCGGCGGACGGGUGAGUAAUUCGUCGGAAUCUGCCUUUUUGUGGGUGAUAACGUAGGGAAACUUGCGCUAAUACCGCAUACGUCCUACGGGAGAAAGUGGGGGACCUCAAGACCUCACGCAGUAAGAUGAGCCGACGACCGAUUAGCUAGUUGGUGGGGUAAAGGCCCACCAAGGCGACGAUCCGUAGCUGGUCUGAGAGGAUGAUCAGCCACACUGGGACUGAGACACGGCCCAGACUCCUACGGGAGGCAGCAGUGGGGAAUAUUGGACAAUGGGCGCAAGCCUGAUCCAGCCAUGCCGCGUGUGUGAAGAAGGCCUUCGGGUUGUAAAGCACUUUUGUUCGGAAAGAAAAGCAGGGAGCUAAUACCUUGCGGGGAUGACGGUACCGAAAGAAUAAGCACCGGCUAACUUCGUG
Molecule: ribosomal RNA, 484 nt
Filed under: uncultured bacterium
Lineage: Bacteria
Description: partial 16S ribosomal RNA
Rfam family: Bacterial small subunit ribosomal RNA
Source: RNAcentral